CGGAAUUUUAAAUGGAGCUUACACGUUCAAUCAUUUGAAGAGGCAGGCAUCAUUGAAAAUGUCUAUGAAUUUAUUUUUUAAUUUCAAAAUGAGGUUCGGUAAACGCUUCUCCAAGAAUUGUUUGAAGCGUCCCUUGCCAGUUGAGUGGCAGGAGGAGGAAAAAACUGGACAGCUGAGCAAGAAAUUCAAGCCAAACUCAUGGACCGAGUGCAAUCAAACAUCUUGCAGUAAAGGCCCAAGGAGUGUUGACUGAGCGCAGUGGUGGAAAACGGAAGAAUGGAAUUGAGGGUCCGUGGCUUUAACUCUCAAAAUUGGGCUCUUCAUUGAUUUACGUUUGGUUGUUAUUUUAAUAUUUCCAAAUUCGUCAAGUAAAUGUCCAUGAUAUGAAUACUUCUAGCUUUAGCUGUACUUACCUUAAGUAGAUUACUUCAAACGACAAUGAACCAACGGCAUAGGCUAGAAUGCGACUUAUCAAGCUCGUGUAACCAGGAGCAACACACACACACACAAAAGUGGCAAACACCCACGUAUAUAUAUAUAUGUAUAUAUUCCCUUUGCCUCUUUAUCGCCACAUCGAAAUACAACAAUGAAAUUGAAUUUAGAGUAAGGUACC
This 613-nucleotide unclassified non-coding RNA is filed under the name Drosophila mojavensis. RNAcentral's name for it is "GI26543". Lineage: Eukaryota; Metazoa; Arthropoda; Insecta; Diptera; Drosophilidae. The record is from RNAcentral.